This 564-nucleotide ribosomal RNA is filed under the name Streptomyces sp. 337E08. RNAcentral's name for it is "bacterial SSU rRNA". It matches the Rfam family "Bacterial small subunit ribosomal RNA", at positions 93 to 671 of the family's 1533-position model. Lineage: Bacteria; Bacillati; Actinomycetota; Actinomycetes; Kitasatosporales; Streptomycetaceae. The record is from RNAcentral.
UAGUGGCGAACGGGUGAGUAACACGUGGGCAAUCUGCCCUGCACUCUGGGACAAGCCCUGGAAACGGGGUCUAAUACCGGAUAUGAGCUGGAACCGCAUGGUUCUGGUUGUAAAGCUCCGGCGGUGCAGGAUGAGCCCGCGGCCUAUCAGCUUGUUGGUGAGGUAAUGGCUCACCAAGGCGACGACGGGUAGCCGGCCUGAGAGGGCGACCGGCCACACUGGGACUGAGACACGGCCCAGACUCCUACGGGAGGCAGCAGUGGGGAAUAUUGCACAAUGGGCGAAAGCCUGAUGCAGCGACGCCGCGUGAGGGAUGACGGCCUUCGGGUUGUAAACCUCUUUCAGCAGGGAAGAAGCGAAAGUGACGGUACCUGCAGAAGAAGCGCCGGCUAACUACGUGCCAGCAGCCGCGGUAAUACGUAGGGCGCAAGCGUUGUCCGGAAUUAUUGGGCGUAAAGAGCUCGUAGGCGGCUUGUCACGUCGAUUGUGAAAGCCCGGGGCUUAACUCCGGGUCUGCAGUCGAUACGGGCUAGCUAGAGUGUGGUAGGGGAGAUCGGAAUUCCU